AAAUUUGAAAUUAGAUAUAUGAAAUCUGAAACCUAAUUAAAUCUUAAAUUCAAAAUUUUAAACUUAAAUUUUAAAAUUUAAAGUUUUAAAAUUUAAAUUUUAAAAAUUUUAAAAUUUAAAGUAUACUAUUUAAACUUUAAAUUUGAAAUUUAAAAAAAUCUAUAUUUUAAAUUUUAAAUUUAAUAAUUUAUAAAUUUAUAUAUUUAUAAAUUUAUAUAUUUAUAAAUAUAUAAAUUUUCCACUCUUUUAGUAUUAUUCCCAUGUUUUUUAUUUUUUUUUGAGAGUCUAUUCCCAUGUGUUAAUAAACAAAUACAAUAAAAUAAAGGGUCAAUUUCAUUUGUGCCCCUCUAAACUUUAAAAAUAUCAUAGAUGCCCCUAUAAAUUUUAUUAUAUCACAAUUACCCCUACAAAUACUUAUUAUUUUUCAAAUAUACCCUUACCCCUACUAUUCAUCUCUUUAUAGAAUGAUAAAAUAUUUAGAUUAUCAUAAAUAUGGUCGAAAUAUCCAUUUUGCCCUUAACUUUUAAAAUUUUUUACAAAAGUAUUUUAGCAUGAUAUAUUUAUUUUAAAAUAUUAAAAUAAACAAUAAAAUAUAUCAUUUUACUGCUGUGGUUUAUGAAAUAAGAUACUAAAAUAAGAUUCUUUAUAUCAUUUAUUUUAAAAUUCGAGAUGCCAAAGCACAGAAAUUUAUCUAGUUUAAAUAACUUAAUUCACAUCGUGCAUAUAUAUUUAAGUUAUAUUUUGAAUAAAUUGUUUAACCUUAUUUAAAGGAGUCAAUUGAUACUUUAAACUUUUUUUGCUAAAUUUUUUUCAAUUGAUUUUUUUAUUUUUAAGCUUAACUGUGAGAUACUGAAUCUUAGCAAAUUAGUAAGGUUACAGUGUAAGUUAUGCUUGAUUGAGCUCGAGACGUUUUGCGCAAAAUAGACGUAAAAAACGGACUUUGAAACUCAAGUUUCAAAGUAGAGGACUAAAGUUGAAUAUCGUAGUAGGUGAGGGGCUUUUGGAUAAUUGUCGCCUUUCAAUCUUACUAGUGAAGGCCCGCGCUUCGCCGCGGGAAAUUUACGCAAUUUCUAAAAUUUUUUAAAUAGAUUAUUCAACAUUGUUUGCUAAAAUUGGUUAUAAAAAUUAAGUAAAAUCAAAAUGAACAAUUAAAUAUUUAAAAUUUAA
RNAcentral lists this long non-coding RNA (1167 nucleotides) under Ananas comosus (pineapple). RNAcentral describes it as "long non-coding RNA (ACOM_LNC033730)". The record is from RNAcentral. Lineage: Eukaryota; Viridiplantae; Streptophyta; Magnoliopsida; Poales; Bromeliaceae.